This 301-nucleotide ribosomal RNA is filed under the name uncultured bacterium. RNAcentral's name for it is "partial 16S ribosomal RNA". It matches the Rfam family "Bacterial small subunit ribosomal RNA", at positions 509 to 807 of the family's 1533-position model. The record is from RNAcentral.
CAGCCGCCACGGUAAUACGGAGGGAGCUAGCGUUGUUCGGAAUUACUGGGCGUAAAGCGCGCGUAGGCGGUUACUCAAGUCAGAGGUGAAAGCCCGGGGCUCAACCCCGGAACUGCCUUUGAAACUAGGUGACUAGAAUCUUGGAGAGGUCAGUGGAAUUCCGAGUGUAGAGGUGAAAUUCGUAGAUAUUCGGAAGAACACCAGUGGCGAAGGCGACUGACUGGACAAGUAUUGACGCUGAGGUGCGAAAGCGUGGGGAGCAAACAGGAUUAGAGACCCCCGUAGUCCCUGUCUCUUAUAC